CCUACGGGAGGCAGCAGUGGGGAAUAUUGCGCAAUGGGCGAAAGCCUGACGCAGCGACGCCGCGUGAGGGAUGAAGGUCUUCGGAUCGUAAACCUCUGUCAGCAGGGAAGAACGGUCACUGUGCUAAUCAGCAGUGAAUUGACGGUACCUGCAAAGGAAGCACCGGUCAACUCCGUGCCAGCAGCCGCGGUAAUACGGAGGGUGCGAGAGUUAAUCGGAAUUACUGGGGGUAAAGCGCUCGUAGGCGGUAUGUCAAGGCAAGGGUGAAAUCCCCGCGCUCAACGUGGGAACUGCCUUUGAAACUGGCAGACUUGAGUGUGUGAGAGGAUAGUGGAAUUCCAGGUGUAGGGGUGAAAUCCGUAGAUAUCUGGAGGAACAUCAGUGGCGAAGGCGACUAUCUGGCACAUAACUGACGCUGAGGAGCGAAAGCGUGGGUAGCAAACAGGAUUAGAUACCCUUGUAGUC
Molecule: ribosomal RNA, 465 nt
Filed under: uncultured bacterium
Lineage: Bacteria
Description: partial 16S ribosomal RNA
Rfam family: Bacterial small subunit ribosomal RNA
Source: RNAcentral